CCUACGGGAGGCAGCAGUGGGGAAUGUUGGACAAUGGGCGCAAGCCUGAUCCAGCCACGCCGCGUGAGAGAUGAAGGCCUUCGGGUCGUAAAGCCUCUGUGGGGAGGGACGAACCGCUGGAGGUUAAUAGCUUCCAGCAUGACGGUACCUCCUUAGCAAGCACCGGCUAACUUCGUGCCAGCAGCCGCGGUAAUACGAAGGGUGCAAACGUUGCUCGGAAUUAUUGGGCGUAAAGCGCACGUAGGCGGCUUAGUAAGUCGGAAGUGAAAGCCCUCGGCUCAACCAAGGAAGUGCUUUCGAAACUGCUGAGCUUGAGUACUGAAGAGAUCGCGGAAUNCCCGUGUAGAGGUGAAUUCGUAGAUAUCGGAGGAACNCCAGUGGGAAGGCGGCGAUCUGGGCAGUUACUGACGCUGAGUGCGAAAGCGUGGGAGCAACAGGAUUAGAUACCCUGGUAGUCCACGCCGUAAACGAUGAGUGCUAGGUGCUAUGGGUAUUGACCCCCGUGGUGCGUAGCUAACGCGUUAAGCACUCCGCCUGGGGAGUACG
This 546-nucleotide ribosomal RNA is filed under the name uncultured bacterium. RNAcentral describes it as "bacterial SSU rRNA". It matches the Rfam family "Bacterial small subunit ribosomal RNA", at positions 338 to 884 of the family's 1533-position model. The record is from RNAcentral.